This 446-nucleotide unclassified non-coding RNA is filed under the name Hevea brasiliensis (rubber tree). Lineage: Eukaryota; Viridiplantae; Streptophyta; Magnoliopsida; Malpighiales; Euphorbiaceae. The record is from RNAcentral.
GCAGUCCAAAUGACAUAGCUUCCAAUUAUGAAUGCAUAAAGAUCAUUGCACUUGAUGCCAUGAGUUAUUGGGAGAAAAGGGAUGGCAUUGAAAAGGGCACGCCCAAGUGAUAUUGGUACAACUAUCAAGGCAGAGUUGAAGAUAAGUAGAGUCAUCCAAGCUACAACCAGCAAGAGGACAAUGCGAAGAACAAAACUGUACCUGUCUGAAUCAGAUUGUUCAUCACUAUCAUACUCAGCAGCAUUAGAGCUUCCUCCAGCAAGAAGACCUCUGUUUGAAUCAUCAGCAGCUGCAAGUGCCACCAAAGCUCGAUCCUGUGCACCUGGUUGUACUGCUGGAAGUCUAUCCUGCCUCCCUGGCUCUGCAUUUACAUUCUCCUGGCCACCAUUUUCCUCAGGUCUGGGCAGUAAAAAAUCAGUUAAACCAAGUGCCCAGCCAACUGCUGU